Molecule: ribosomal RNA, 269 nt
Filed under: uncultured bacterium
Lineage: Bacteria
Description: partial 16S ribosomal RNA
Rfam family: Bacterial small subunit ribosomal RNA
Source: RNAcentral
GGCGUAAACAGAGGGAAGCGAGCCUGCAGGGGGAGCGAAUCCCAAAAAUAAACGUCCCAGUUCGGAUUGUAGUCUGCAACCCGACUACAUGAAGCUGGAAUCGCUAGUAAUCGCGAAUCAGAAUGUCGCGGUGAAUACGUUCCCGGGUCUUGUACACACCGCCCGUCACACCAUGGGAGUCGGAAAUGCCCGAAGUCAGUGACCCAACCGUAAGGAGGGAGCUGCCGAAGGUGGAGCCGGUAACUGGGGUGAAGUCGUAACAAGGUACC